Long non-coding RNA from Brassica oleracea var. oleracea, 517 nucleotides. RefSeq lists it as uncharacterized. Lineage: Eukaryota; Viridiplantae; Streptophyta; Magnoliopsida; Brassicales; Brassicaceae. The transcript is spliced from 2 exons. The record is from RefSeq and is a predicted model, not a curated record.
ACUCAUUUUUAUUAGGUUUGUUAAAAAGAACCCCAACUUUCUCUCCCGAUGCGUAGACUGCAUCCCUUCCGUUUCGAGCUCUCUUGUGGGGACCGGCGUACGGCGGCUUAGAUAGUGCUGGCGUCGGUUUCUUGUUGUGUGUAGUGUUGGUUUUUAGGCUUUGCUGUUUUUAUUGGUGUAGAUCUGAGAUUCCCGCUGGUCCUCGUUUGAUUUGUUGAGUUUGAAGUCUUAAAGGGCAGAUAUGCUUCGAUUGGCCAUAUGCAACAGCGUUAGAUCCGGGUUAAGAAAACUUGGAGUCUGGAUUACUAGAAGUGGAUGGAAUCGUUGGGCUUGCCGAGGACAACAUCUAUUAAUCUGAAUCAUUGCUUGCUGCUAUAGGUUUGGUUAAAUGCUUGGAGUUGUCAUAGUCUUUGAGUAGAUGGAUAUGUCUUUUGUUCCUGUUUUAAUUGCAGACUAUAGUAUCUAUCCGUGUGUUCGAUUUAACUUGUAAGUUGCUCCAGAGUGGGUUUUAGCUGUC